This 807-nucleotide unclassified non-coding RNA is filed under the name Hevea brasiliensis (rubber tree). Lineage: Eukaryota; Viridiplantae; Streptophyta; Magnoliopsida; Malpighiales; Euphorbiaceae. The record is from RNAcentral.
GAAUCCUUCAGCUUCUUCCUCAACCCGUUAACCACAGAAGUCCUGGUCCGAUCGGACGAAGACCCUGGUCCACACCCAGGCAGACUUCGACUAGCGGCGUUGGAACUGUCCAGCGCCUCAAGCCGGACCUUGAUGAGCUUAGCUUUCUUCAACGCUUGAGCAACAUCAGCAUCCAUCCGCGACCGCAAGUCCUUGACGGCCUUGGCGUUGUGUAGAGUCUUGCUCUGCUCGUGAGCAGAUUGGAGACUAUCAUUCAGCUUUUCCAAUGCCUUCAGCUCGUCUUUAACAGACUCAACAUCCUCAAAGAACUUAUCAAGGUUGACGCCAUCGGUGGACGGCGUCUCCGACAUCUGGAUUACAUGGUGAUCAGGGGAGGCUUCCCCACUGCGGAAUUGAGAGAAAGACCCUGAAAACAAGUCAUUCAUCUUUCCUUACCCUCGUUUUCUUGUCUGACGGAUUCCUCUGUUUUCUUUUUUUUCGUUUUUUUUCUGAUAAGAGUUCAAGAAACAGGAGGAGAUUAUAAGGGGUAGAGAUUGGAUGGGAUUUUCAUGGAUGGCUGGCUACUAAGGAUGAUGAAGGUGGGAUUGGUCAAAUGCCAGCUUCAACAAUUCUAGUAUUCUUAAAGAUUGUUUGAUAAGUCAAUUGAGUGACGAGUAGGAGAUGGAAAUUUCAUGGGUACCGGAAAAUCAAGAAGGAAACAUAUGGGAAAGUGGAAGUGGAGAAUGUUUGAACCAAGUAAAAGGGUUUAAAUGGAAUGUUGUUGUUUUGAUUUGGUAGAAAACCCGCGAGGGUUUUUGGACUUGUAUU